RNAcentral lists this unclassified non-coding RNA (312 nucleotides) under plant metagenome. RNAcentral describes it as "partial contains small subunit ribosomal RNA and internal transcribed spacer 1". The stretch from base 1 to 46 matches the Rfam family "Eukaryotic small subunit ribosomal RNA", at positions 1786 to 1831 of the family's 1831-position model. The record is from RNAcentral.
AAGUCGUAACAAGGUUUCCGUAGGUGAACCUGCGGAAGGAUCAUUAAAGAGUCGGCCCUCCCUUCGGGGAGAGGUCCACGGGUGAGGCCCGGGAUUAACCCCCCGGUCCCCGGGUCCCGUCCUCGUCAGCCCAUUGCCUUUGUCCUUAACCAAUUUUCCCCAAUUCCGGUUUGCUUUUGGGCGGGGCCUUGACCGGUCCCACGACCGGCCGCGCCAGCCGGGGAUGCGUCCCCUGCCGGCGAGCGCCCGCCAGAGACCCUUACCAUUCUGAUUUUUACCAUGUGGUCUGAGCAAAAAACAUAAUAAUCAAAA